CCCUAUCAUGAAAUACAAGAUUGUCAUAAAAACAGUUGCUUAAUAAUGAUCAAAUUCUUAUUAGGCUUCUUCUUCUCUCUCACUUUUGCUAGUCUUACCAACCUCUCUGUUAGAUCACUCAUGCCAGCCAACUCAACCAUCUCAAAUAUUUCUUCAUUCAUCUUUCCUGAACUUAUACACACCUCCACCGUUCCCCCCAAUCCAUCUCCUAAUGCAACCUAAUCUAGUUGUCUCAACAUUCAGAAGACUAUCUUUCAACCAGCCCAUUGUGCCUAUACGCCAACCUUGCCUUCUUCUCAAUUGAACUCUCAUUCUCAAUCGACCUCUUACUACAUUUUGAUUGCAUAAUACACCAAGCCUAGCCAUCUAUACCAUCCCCACUUAAAGUACGUUAGGAUUGAGGAGGGAAGCAAGUUGGAAGCAAUUGGUUGUGGUUAAGGAAUAUCCCUUGAUGCCUACCAUACUUUAGUUCACUCGCAAGUUUGCAUCACUAAUGGAUGAUUGUGGCAGUGAGAUUACAAGGAAAUCUUCAGUGUCAUUCAUAGAAGUAUUGAGGCAAGAGACAGAGAGAUAGAGAGAUAGAUAGGCGGGCGGGUAGAUAGAUUAAACAAACAGCUUGACAGACAGAUAAAUAUAGAGAGAG
This 643-nucleotide long non-coding RNA is filed under the name Elaeis guineensis (African oil palm). Its description in RNAcentral is "long non-coding RNA (EGUI_LNC045977)". The record is from RNAcentral. Lineage: Eukaryota; Viridiplantae; Streptophyta; Magnoliopsida; Arecales; Arecaceae.